CGGUACGCUUUGAGCACGAACAGAGGAACGACAGCAAGGCAGCGAUGGCGAAGGGGACUCCGGCGGAGCUCUGGCAUUCCCUUUUAUAGCUGCGCAGAAGAGAGAGGGUUGGAGCGGCGCGAAGACCGGGAAGAAGCGAUCGAGUGCUCUGCCGGGGCAGAGAUUGAGCAGCGGUGCGGUGGAGCAGGACUUCGGGGACGACACCGUCGACCAUUGCGCACCAG
This 224-nucleotide long non-coding RNA is filed under the name Setaria italica (foxtail millet). Its description in RNAcentral is "long non-coding RNA (SITA_LNC007515)". The record is from RNAcentral. Lineage: Eukaryota; Viridiplantae; Streptophyta; Magnoliopsida; Poales; Poaceae.